RNAcentral lists this ribosomal RNA (1358 nucleotides) under uncultured bacterium. RNAcentral describes it as "bacterial SSU rRNA". It matches the Rfam family "Bacterial small subunit ribosomal RNA", at positions 28 to 1381 of the family's 1533-position model. The record is from RNAcentral.
GAUGAACGCUAGCUACAGGCUUAACACAUGCAAGUCGAGGGGCAGCAUGGUCUUAGCUUGCUAAGGCCGAUGGCGACCGGCGCACGGGUGAGUAACACGUAUCCAACCUGCCGUCUACUCUUGGACAGCCUUCUGAAAGGAAGAUUAAUACAAGAUGGCAUCAUGAGUCCGCAUGUUCACAUGAUUAAAGGUAUUCCGGUAGACGAUGGGGAUGCGUUCCAUUAGAUAGUAGGCGGGGUAACGGCCCACCUAGUCUUCGAUGGAUAGGGGUUCUGAGAGGAAGGUCCCCCACAUUGGAACUGAGACACGGUCCAAACUCCUACGGGAGGCAGCAGUGAGGAAUAUUGGUCAAUGGGCGAGAGCCUGAACCAGCCAAGUAGCGUGAAGGAUGACUGCCCUAUGGGUUGUAAACUUCUUUUAUAAAGGAAUAAAGUCGGGUAUGCAUACCCGUUUGCAUGUACUUUAUGAAUAAGGAUCGGCUAACUCCGUGCCAGCAGCCGCGGUAAUACGGAGGAUCCGAGCGUUAUCCGGAUUUAUUGGGUUUAAAGGGAGCGUAGAUGGAUGUUUAAGUCAGUUGUGAAAGUUCGCGGCUCAACCGUAAAAUUGCAGUUGAUACUGGAUAUCUUGAGUGCAGUUGAGGCAGGCGGAAUUCGUGGUGUAGCGGUGAAAUGCUUAGAUAUCACGAAGAACUCCGAUUGCGAAGGCAGCCUGCUAAGCUGCAACUGACAUUGAGGCUCGAAAGUGUGGGUAUCAAACAGGAUUAGAUACCCUGGUAGUCCACACGGUAAACGAUGAAUACUCGCUGUUUGCGAUAUACAGCAAGCGGCCAAGCGAAAGCGUUAAGUAUUCCACCUGGGGAGUACGCCGGCAACGGUGAAACUCAAAGGAAUUGACGGGGGCCCGCACAAGCGGAGGAACAUGUGGUUUAAUUCGAUGAUACGCGAGGAACCUUACCCGGGCUUAAAUUGCAGAUGAAUUACGGUGAAAGCCGUAAGCCGCAAGGCAUCUGUGAAGGUGCUGCAUGGUUGUCGUCAGCUCGUGCCGUGAGGUGUCGGCUUAAGUGCCAUAACGAGCGCAACCCUUGUUGUCAGUUACUAACAGGUUCCGCUGAGGACUCUGACAAGACUGCCAUCGUAAGAUGUGAGGAAGGUGGGGAUGACGUCAAAUCAGCACGGCCCUUACGUCCGGGGCUACACACGUGUUACAAUGGGGGGUACAGAGGGCCGCUACCACGCGAGUGGAUGCCAAUCCCAAAAACCUCUCUCAGUUCGGACUGGAGUCUGCAACCCGACUCCACGAAGCUGGAUUCGCUAGUAAUCGCGCAUCAGCCACGGCGCGGUGAAUACGUUCCCGGGCCU